CAGACAAAAGAUAGACAUCUCAGCCCACCAAACUAAACAGUUCAACUACCAUGAAAGAUUAGAAUGUAAUAAUUCCCUAGACUUGACCCUUCCUGUUUAAUAUCAUUAAUAAACAGUUAUUCCUUUAUUUAAAAGUGUGGUGGCCGUGCUGCUACAUCCCUUCUUUCCCAAAGCAAAGAUCAGGUGCCUGCAUCAGACAAUGCAAGAGUGAGAUGACACAUCUCAGCAAGUAAAAAAAACAAACAACAGUUGGACAAUGCAAGCCAACCGUGCAUAAGCAACCACAUGGUUCCCCACUUCUUCCUUAAAUAUUAAUUUGCAGCAAGUAAGCAAGUAAUCAAUUACUCAAUGCCAAGAUGAAUUCCAAAGUAAAGAUCCACCUUAACCACAUCACCAAAAUAGGUUCCACACUUCACCCAUGAAUGCACAUGGCUACAGAUGCAACAUGACUUCUGCCUUCAUACCUCUAAGGAUAUGAAGCUGCAUCAUACCCCUUCUCGGGAAACAUAUGAUGCUCAUUUGUACCGGUACGGUCGGACCAUAAGAUCGCGACGAAAACUUCAAUGCAAUGGAUGAUGAAUGCAUUAUGCAUGUCAACAACAUGAGUUCUUCCCAAAUAAAAUGUGCUAGACAUAUACUUCCACCCAUUUCACAUCAAUAACCACAUGGGUAACAUGAUCAAACCACACCCUCCACAUGUAUAAUCAAUAAAGCAUAAAUAAUUUCAAACGAUGGUACCCAAUUAGGAAAAUGGAUACGAACACAAAUAGCACAAACAUAAUCAAGUAUGAGCCUCUUCAAUCAAAAGACGAAAUAACCAUCACUGUUUUACUUGCCUUUACCGAAGUUAGGGCAAAAUCCCUAAGAACGAUCCGGAAGUCCACCACCUUGGGUUCUCCCCUUUUCCUUCCUCACUUCUUCCUUCCACCAAAAUGAUUGGAGAUUCGCACCAAAAGACGAUGAUCCGAGCGGCACGGAGUAGCACCUAGGGAGGAGGGGAUUGGGGGGGGGGCGGCUAGGGUUUUGGUGGCUGCAACAAUGGAGGGAGGAGGAGGUGGAGAGGGGGGGCGGCGGCCAAGGGGAAAUGAGGAGUGGGGGGGGCGGCAGCCUUGAGGGGGAGUAGAUAGGAGGGUGGCGGCUAGGGUUUGGGAGGCCUAAUGGGCCGAAACACCAAUUGCGGCCCAACUAACCCACGCGACAGCUCCCGACCGCAACGCAAAUGUCAAACCAAAAAAAAAUCUACUGCCCUAGUUGCGAAUGUUAUUCACAAAAUUCCAAAUCCCCAAAACAACAACUGGA
Molecule: long non-coding RNA, 1299 nt
Filed under: Zea mays
Lineage: Eukaryota; Viridiplantae; Streptophyta; Magnoliopsida; Poales; Poaceae
Description: long non-coding RNA (ZMAY_LNC004207)
Source: RNAcentral